AUUAACGCUAGCGGCAGGCAUAAUACAUGCAAGUUGAACGGCAGCACAGGUAGCAAUACUGGGUGGCGAGUGGCGCACGGGUGCGUAACACGUAUGCAACCUACCCUAUACAGGCGAAUAACCUUUAGAAACGAGGGCUAAUACGCCGUAGUAUUACAGAUGGGCAUCUAUUUGUAAUUAAAGAUUUAUCGGUAUAGGAUGGGCAUGCGUCCCAUUAGUUAGUUGGUAAGGUAACGGCUUACCAAGACGAUGAUGGGUA
RNAcentral lists this ribosomal RNA (259 nucleotides) under uncultured bacterium. RNAcentral describes it as "partial 16S ribosomal RNA". It matches the Rfam family "Bacterial small subunit ribosomal RNA", at positions 29 to 285 of the family's 1533-position model. The record is from RNAcentral.